CCGAGAGGCGUAGGCGAUGGAUAACCGGUUGAUAUUCCGGUACCCGCUGUGAAGCGUCAAACAUCGAGCAUCGUGAUGCUAAGGCCGUGAAACCGCCCGCUGCCGGCUUUGCCGUCAGUGGGAGUGGUGGAGCCGCUGAACCAAGCGGUUAGUAGGUGAGUGAUGGGGUGACGCAGGAAGGUAGUCCAUCCCGGGCGGUGGUUGUCCCGGGGUAAGGGUGUAGGACGCACGGUAGGCAGAUCCGUCGUGCAUAUAGUCUGAGACCUGAUGCCGAGCCGAUUGUGGUGAAGUGGAUGAUCCUAUGCUGUCGAGAAAAGCCUCUAGCGAGUUUCAUGGCGGCCCGUACCCCAAACCGACUCAGG
RNAcentral lists this ribosomal RNA (362 nucleotides) under uncultured Actinomycetes bacterium. RNAcentral describes it as "bacterial LSU rRNA". It matches the Rfam family "Bacterial large subunit ribosomal RNA", at positions 1402 to 1663 of the family's 2925-position model. The record is from RNAcentral. Lineage: Bacteria; Bacillati; Actinomycetota; Actinomycetes.